This is a long non-coding RNA of Rhinopithecus roxellana (golden snub-nosed monkey), 5539 nucleotides long. RefSeq lists it as uncharacterized. The transcript is spliced from 3 exons. The record is from RefSeq and is a predicted model, not a curated record. Lineage: Eukaryota; Metazoa; Chordata; Mammalia; Primates; Cercopithecidae.
AUCCUGGAUUUUCUUUUCAUAGAUGGGAGUUCACAGCGAAGUGGAGGCCAUAGGGGAAGGAUGAAAAGAUCCUGCAGUUGCUGCCGCCACAGCUGUGGUUAGGGCAAGUCUCAGCUCCCUGGAGUGAGUGCUCCUGUGGGCCAUCAGGUGACAUGGGGACAGAUGCCACAGAGGAGUGCAGAGGAGGGACCAGGGAGUGCUGUGGGAUCCAGGCUCUCUGAGAAGGUGAUGCGUGAGCCGAGGCCCAGGGUUGGGGUGGGGUGGUGCCUGGGUGAGUGGAUCAGGUAGGGAGGCAGCGGGCUGGCGUGGGAAUGAGGCAGGAGGCCCAGCCGUGGGGAACUGGAGAUCCUGCCUGUUUGAGAUGGAAGCCACUGAACAGAUGAGGACUGAAGUUUGGAGUCAGAGGAGGAUGGUUUACUGCCUCUGAUUGGCACACAGCUGCCGGUGUGUGUGCGUUGUGUGUGUGCAAUGGUGAGGCCACUGUGCACCCGGGUAGCUGGCUUCUCAUGGGUUAAACACACGCUCACCACACCAGUCAGCACUCACGUCUUUACCCUGGAUCCUUUUCUAGAAAGUUAAACACACGCUUACCACACUAGUCAGCACUCACGUCUUUACCCUGGAUCCUUUUCUAGAAAGGAUCUGAAAAGUAAACAUUUUAGACUUUGAGGGCCACAGUCUCUGUUCCUGUCCCUGUUCCUCUCUGUGUUUGUCCUGCCAGACACACACCAUGAGGUUACAAAGGCAGGCGGUAGAUGAAUGUGGCCUGGGGACUAUUUGCCAACACCAGCCCCAGAAAAUAAAACUUAACGUUUGUGUAAAUAUCUAUACACAGGUAUUUCUACCCAGGCGUAAUCACCAAGUGCUGGAAGCGACACAAGCGUCCUUCGAUGGUGAGUGGAUGGCAGGGCCCCCAGGAGACCACAGGAAAGUCACGUAGAGAAGGCAUUAGAACCUUAAGAACAUGCCCCAUGCACCAGUAGAGUGGCCAAGCUUCCAGAACAAUGCAGGGACUCGGAGCCCAUCACAGAUGCCCCAGCAGUUACGCCGUCGUGCGCUUUAUGGUCUCAGGAAGUGACGAUGAGGAUUGUGAUUGAUUAGUGUUUACUGAGCCUUGCUGAUUGGAUUUCUGCAUGGCUUAUUGAAGAGGCACUAAAAAUCACGUAGGGAACAGCCUGAGAGUUUCUGGUUUGAAAUGCUGCCUUAUGUGUAAUAGCACUUAAUGUGGGUUUAUUAAGUCAAUCAAUCAACUAAUCAUCAAUCACAGUCCUCUGACCCAGCCUGCCUUUUCAUUGACAUCCCCACAUCUCUGUCGUAGCUGACAUUCUGAUCAAACAGAUGGGCGGCCCUUUCCAACGAGCGCCAGAUCACCUUUGUCUAUAUUCGCUCUUCUUUGCAAAUCCUUUGGAAGUCCUCCUCCACCUGGUGAAAUUCUGCUGAUUCUUGAAAGCCAGCUCCAGUGUCAUAGCCUUGGGGCCUUUCCCUGUGUCCUGGAAUCCAGUCCCUGAGCUGCCUGAUGGAGGAAGAAGCCCCAUUUCCUGGUUUACAUGGGCUGCCAUGUUAGUGCUGGAAUAGUGGUGAGCGUCCCCGUGUCGGGAAUGCUGGAGUAGCGGUGAGCAUUACCGACAAAGGAACGCUGGAAUAGUAGUGAGCGUUCCCAUGUCGGUGCUGCAGUAGUGAUGAGCGUUCCAUGUCGGGAACACUGGAAUAGUGAGCGUCCCCGCGUCGGUGCUGGAAUAGUGAGCGUCCCCGUAUCAGUGCUGGAAUAGUGAGCAUCCCCGCGUCGGUGCUGGAACAGUGAGCUCAGUGCCCCCUAUGUCAGGAAGGGCAGGAGCCCAAUCCCUCAGUGUAAGUCAGACUCCGGAGGUUGCUCUGAGAAGUGUGGAGGUGGAAAGGGAGAGCAGGAAGGGGCAGAGCAGGCAUGGCCCCAGGACCCAGUUAGGCAGCCCCCGGGAUAUCAGGCAUCAGCCCCAGAGCUUCACUCUUGGUGUAAGUUGGUCGUCUUCACCUAUUUCUAUAAAUUCAUUAAGAGAAAAGCAUAACGAUGUCUUUCUGAACAAUGGAACUUUGCAGAUUACAAAGGGUUUUUGAGAAUGCUUUGCUUUUGACAGCAGCGUCAAAUACAAUUCCUGCAAAUACAGGAAGCGCAGGUUCGGCAGGUAGCACCCUCCUGAGGCCUCGCGGCUCCCUGUGGGUUCGGGUUCGCCUCUUCCCUCUCUCGUUCCUGAGUCAGGUUCUGGGCUCUUCCACUGCAUAGACAUCCUUGGAGUGGCCACCUGGCUGCCAGGGCCCCUGUUCCACCUUCAGCAGGGAGCGUGUUCCAGCUCCAGCUGUUAUCAACAGGGGCCGUGAGAUCAUGGCCCAGCGUCUGCCCACCCAGCCAGCUGCAUCGGGCAGUGGCUGACUGUGCAGUGAGCAGCUCUCACCUUCUCUCUGUGGGCACAGCACCCACCCACCCACUCAGUCCCUCCAUGCCAGAUGGGAGGUCUGGGGAGCCCCUCCAGCAAACACGCACCGCGCCUUGAGGCCUGGAACAGGGAGGAAAUGCAUUGCCAAUAACCUCUAAGCUCACAGAGGCCAGCCCGGGGCAGAACCAUGCAGCCAGCAUGGGGCGUCUGCCAGCACGGGUGGGCAGUGAAGAGAGGACGGCUCCCCUGAAUCCUGGAGGGGUGGGGGCGCCAGCCAGGCACGAAGCUAAGUGGGCACGGGAGGUCACGGGUGUCUGAGCGGUGGGCCUGCAGCAGCAAGACUCUGGUCUGGUUUUUAUAGGCUGUGCGCUGGGCCUGCACGUGGAGGAAGAGCCAGCCCUGCUGGUUCUGAGGCCGCCUCUGCCCCCGGCGAGGGUAAAGGGGGCUCUCAGGGUGGCCUACCUGUGGCCCCAGGGCCACCCUUAGCUUCCUAGGAAUGGGCGGCCACAGAACCCUGAGCUGCUCCCAGAGAUCUUUCCUGGGGGAAGCCCUGCCCUCUCCUGCUCCCACCUGGCAGCAAAGAGAGGGCGGGGAAUGAGGGCCUGUGGUGUGCAGAAGGACUGGUCAGGGAGCAGCCCUUGAGGGUGCUUCUGGUAGGGUCCACCUGCCUCCCAGGGGUCUUCGAGAUGCACCUCUGCAGGCUUCUCCUCAGCACUCCUUAUCUAGCAUGUCAGCCCCACAAAGGGAGGCCUGGGGGCCUCUGUCCAUUGCUGGGUCCUCAGGGUCUGGCACAGCGCCCCGCACAGAGUCGGAGUGUGGUCACACUUGCUGAUGAACCAGCCUGGCCAACCCCCUGGAGCCGCAUGGUUCAGGGCCCACAGCUGGGGCCCUCCAGUGGCGCCAUCACAUGACAGACCUCAGACUGCUAUGUGCCCUCCCACCCUCCUGAUGUGGCACCCACAGACCAGCAGGGUCUUCAGGCAGCCCAUGCCCGAGGGGGCUCACCCGGCCCCACAGGCCUUUCCACGCUGGUUUAUUUUAAACUGUCAGAGUUGAUAGCCCAAUCCACUUUUUGAUGUAACUAUGAUGGUUUUAGGAGAUUUAGACAUGAUUUCUUUUUAUAGCAUGAAAAAGAAAAAUAGAACUGAAUAUGUGAUAAUGAUGAAUCCUUCGACUUUUGAGUCUGAAAUGGCUUCUAGGCAUGAGUUAUUGCAUAAUAAUUCAUGCCCUGUUGUGUCUUACUGCUUAAUAAGCCUAUGGAAAAUGGUGAUGUCGGAACUGCCUUUCUGUUGUCAUUUUGAUGCUGUUGAAAUUGUGCUUGUGUGGUAGUUGAGGGGAGAGCUGAGGGCCCUCACUGAUGAAGCCAUCAAGGGCACCCCCAGGAGAAGCCGUUCACGGGCUGCAUACCAGAGGCCAGAAAAAAAUGAAAAGAUCUGUUGGCAUCAACUUCUCCUCCAAGAAACCACAGGAUUUCCUACUAAUAUGGCCACCAGCUUCUCGCUCUCCAGGUAUCUCAGCCACAGAGACACUGACUCAGUCCUGGACAGACGUCUGAAGUUGACAGUGUCUUAGGUGGAAACAGCCAUUUGCAUUUGCGUAGGUGUGGGUUUGCUUGCACCCAAGGCCUCCAUCACAGGGCAUGGCUCCUGACAUCCAGCUCGAAAAGGGCAGAGAAUCCUUAGGGCCGCUGGUCCCACGUGGCGGACCCUGGUCCCUGCCUUUAUCAUGGCUUCGGGCCACAACUCACCUUCUCACUAGACCGUGAGCUCGUGGGGCUCAGACCCCUUCUGCUCUCACCUCAGAACCCACCAGCAAAGGCCUGUGGCCGAGCCAGUCACUGUGAGCCAGAGUGGGAUCAAAGCAGGUGUGAAAGGAGCGUCUGCGUUAGUAGCGCAGUCUGCGCAGUUUCACUAGUUGGGAAUCUUUAUUCUGAGGAGUUAAUCCAAGACGUGUUUUCUAAGCAGCUCAGGACAAGGACUGUGGCCCAGAUGUUUCUCUCACCACAGAGACGACUCUGACACGCACUGGGGCAUUGCGUGAACGCUUCGCGAACCCGUGCACCCGGCCACUGACCCGUCGCACAGCGAGCCCUGAUCUGCGCUGCAGGAAAAUGGCACUUGGGGAGGGAAGAAGCCCCGUGGCCAGGAGCAGCCUGGGCCAUGUGUGUUACACACAGCAAUAGACGGAUGCUCCUGCCCCUCUCUCUGUCCACCACUUUCCAGCCAGGAGACACGGAUCAAGUCCCUUCUCCCCUCUGGGCCUUCGUGUACAACACAGGGAAGCUGACCUGUGACGGCCAGGCUCUUUCAGGUCUGGGCGGUUCCUGUGCCCCAGGACCAGGUGUUCAGGCCCAUCAGGCCCCAUCCUCUUCCCAGGGCAGAGCCAGUUCUGUCUGGGGGCUCCCUGGGAAGAAUGCUGGGAGUCAGGGUUAGUGAGGACAGGGCACGAGCUGCACCCUGAGGGCCACUGGAGGCCACAGAGUCCUGUCCACACCGUGACUGUGACCCAGGGGCCAUCCACAGGUUUCCUUUGUUCUGGUGAGCAGGCCACAGAAACUGGCUCCAGCAGCCAGCGGAGCUGCAGAGUGAUCAGGCGACUGCUAUCGAGGGCGAUUCCGCUGUCGCCGCUGCCCUGAGGGACUCUCUCAAGGCCUGGGGACCCCUCACCCCUCACGGAAGACUGGCUCACUGGCACGGCCAAAAGCAACUUUGUUUUAUCUUUAGCCGGCUGCUUGUGCUCGUGUAUUUAUACACAGGAGAAAGUGCAGCUGGCCAUGGGAGAAGUUCAUUUUGUUUAAUUUUUAAUCAGAGACCACUGCAGAGUUGCACUCGACAAAUUUGAGUGCAGAGGAGGGCUCGUUGCAUGGGGCUCCUAAGCUCGUGGACAGAGCCCCAGGCCACUGCCUGACCCUCCCAGCUGGAGUCAGGCCAGACUCCAGCGACACUUCCGGAAUGCUCCACACAGCCGGUGUCCUGCUUCCCCACCCUGGGAGCACCUCACGCGAGUGUCCUCGGUGAUUCUGCAUCUUUAAUCCUCCCCAUUUUUUGUUUGUCUGUUUUUGAGACGGAGUCUCCCUCUGUCGCCCAAGCUGGAGUGCAAUGGUGCAAUCUCGGCUCACCACAACCUCCACC